RNAcentral lists this unclassified non-coding RNA (583 nucleotides) under Apiospora jatrophae. RNAcentral's name for it is "Arthrinium jatrophae sequence contains ITS1, 5.8S rRNA gene and ITS2". The stretch from base 223 to 376 matches the Rfam family "5.8S ribosomal RNA". Lineage: Eukaryota; Fungi; Ascomycota; Sordariomycetes; Amphisphaeriales; Apiosporaceae. The record is from RNAcentral.
AACCUGCGGAGGGAUCAUUACCGAGUUUACAACUCCCACACCAUUUGUGAAUCUUACCUAGCUAUGCCUCGGCGUAAGCUGCCGGUACGGUCUCGUGCUGAGACGGAUGCUAGCUACCCUGUAGCUAGCUCCCGGAUCGGCGCGGUUCCGCGGCAGCCCGCCGGUGGUACACUAAACUCUUGUUUUAACUGUACGUUCUGAGCGUCUUAUUUAAUAAGUCAAAACUUUCAACAACGGAUCUCUUGGUUCUGGCAUCGAUGAAGAACGCAGCGAAAUGCGAUAAGUAAUGUGAAUUGCAGAAUUCAGUGAAUCAUCGAAUCUUUGAACGCACAUUGCGCCCAUUAGUAUUCUAGUGGGCAUGCCUGUUCGAGCGUCAUUUCAACCCUUAAGCCUAGCUUAGUGUUGGGAAUCCACGGUCUCGUGGUUCCUUAAAGACAGUGGCGGAGCGAUAGCAGUCCUCUGAGCGCAGUAAUUCUUUUUCUCGCUUUGGUCAGGCUCUAUCUUCUCGCCAUAAAACCCCCAAUUUUUUUGUGGUUGACCUCGGAUCAGGUAGGAAUACCCGCUGAACUUAAGCAUAUCAAUA